Molecule: long non-coding RNA, 1052 nt
Organism: Macrobrachium nipponense
Lineage: Eukaryota; Metazoa; Arthropoda; Malacostraca; Decapoda; Palaemonidae
Exons: 4
Source: RefSeq, a predicted model, not a curated record
UACUAGGGCCAGCCAAUAUAAAUGAAUAGUGAUUCCGACUCCAGAUGUCAAUUCAAAACCUGGCAGUUCAUGAGAAGACACCUCAGUGUCAACAGAUCAGCUCAUUUCUCUCACUCUUUUGCCUUUGGUGGCUGAAUUCAGUUUUAUAAAAAGAAAGAUGUCGCGACUCUUCCUGAAUUUCUUCCUGAUUGCUGUCUUGGCCUUUUGGUGGGUCCAGGGACGCAAAGCUGAAUCUCCUUUGAAAUUUGAUUUUCCAGCAAAACCAUUGCUGGAAAGGGAUGUAACCACAUCGGAAACACCAGAGACUGAGGUGCCACCUACUCCUUGCCAUGCAAUUGGUCCCUGGUUUGGAGAAGAAAUGUUCGAUGAGUUUUGUAACAUCAACUGUUUUCGAGAGGUGGAACCUUUCUGCCCUUUCUACUUAUGUGAUUGUGAGCAGGAAGACUGAGGCUUUGGCAUAGAUGGAAUGGGAUGCAAAAUUAAUCCAAUAUCAUGUUUGAAAUUCAGUUAAUACAUCAAAGGGAAUUUUGUUACACAGAAUGAUUGUCAAAUAUUUUAAGCUAUAUUGCUAUCUAAUUUGUUGAGUAUAGGUAGACUGCAAUGCUGAAAAUUUUAAAUGUUUUGCACAGAUGAGUGACGCAAAAAAAGUAAUAAUUAAACAAGAGUUGUAGAAUAUUUAGUUAAUAUCCAAUCUUGGUAAAGGUGGAUAUGUUCAAUCUUUAAUUAGCCAUUUACAAGAAAACCAGAUACAAGUUCUCUAAUUCAUUUUAGGAACCAAACAUUCCACCUAAAUGAGGCUAUGUAUCAAAAUUUUCUUGUUAAAUGGAUGAACAUUUCUCCGCCUUUUUGUUAAUUAUGUUUGCAAAUAAGCACAUUGUAUUCACAUUAAAAAUUGCUUUCGUUUGACGUAAUCUGAUGCGAUUCUUAUGCUAACAAAACAGUUUAUGAAUUGUAAUGGGAUUUCUACUGUUUAUCAUAUUUUAUCUACCUGAUUUUUCGUUAUUACUAAUGAUGAAAUAAUGUUAUUCAGUCAAUAAAGAGGAGAUGCACCA